UACGUAGGUGGCAAGCGUUGUCCGGAUUUACUGGGUGUAAAGGGCGUGUAGCCGGGUUGACAAGUCAGAUGUGAAAUCCUGCGGCUUAACCGCAGAACUGCAUUUGAAACUGUUGAUCUUGAGUACUGGAGAGGCAGACGGAAUUCCUAGUGUAGCGGUGAAAUGCGUAGAUAUAACUUAGAACACCGAUAGCGAAGGCAGCUUACCAGACUGAGUCUGACGCUGAUGCACGAGAGCAUGGGUAGCGAACAGG
This 253-nucleotide ribosomal RNA is filed under the name uncultured Eubacteriales bacterium. Its description in RNAcentral is "uncultured Clostridiales bacterium partial 16S ribosomal RNA". It matches the Rfam family "Bacterial small subunit ribosomal RNA", at positions 524 to 776 of the family's 1533-position model. The record is from RNAcentral. Lineage: Bacteria; Bacillati; Bacillota; Clostridia; Eubacteriales.